Molecule: long non-coding RNA, 158 nt
Filed under: Anas platyrhynchos platyrhynchos (common mallard)
Lineage: Eukaryota; Metazoa; Chordata; Aves; Anseriformes; Anatidae
Description: lncRNA (ENSAPLG00000028180.1)
Source: RNAcentral
CUGGGAGAGGAUGGGGACAGGGAUGGGAUGGGGACAGGGAGAGGAUGGGGACAGGGAAAGGAUGGGGACAGGGACGGGAAUGGGGACAGGGACAGAAAUGGGGACAGGAUGGGGACAGGGACAGGAUGGGGACAGGGACAGGAAUGGGGACAGGAUGG